AUUGAACGCUGGCGGCAGGCCUAACACAUGCAAGUCGAGCGGAGCGGCGGACGGGUGAGUAAUGCCUAGGAAUCUGCCUGGUAGUGGGGGAUAACGUCCGGAAACGGGCGCUAAUACAGCAACCUAUCGGAUGAGCCGAGGGUGGAUUAGCUAGUUGGUGGGGUAAAGGCCUACCAAGUCGACGAUCCGUAACUGGGCUGAGAGGAUGAUCAGUCACACUGGAACUGAGAACCGGUCCAGACUCCUACGGGAGGCAGCAGUGGGGAAUAUUGGACAAUGGGCGAAAGCCUUAUCCAGCCAUGCCGCGUGUGUGAAGAAGGUCUUCGGAUUGUAAAGCACUUUAAGUUGGGAGGCGUUACCAACAGAAUAAGCACCGGCUAACUUCGUGCCAGCAGCCGCGGUAAUUC
This 407-nucleotide ribosomal RNA is filed under the name uncultured bacterium. RNAcentral describes it as "partial 16S ribosomal RNA". It matches the Rfam family "Bacterial small subunit ribosomal RNA", at positions 30 to 526 of the family's 1533-position model. The record is from RNAcentral.